UGCAUUCUAAAAUCUUACAUCACUCACGCAUUUAUAUCAGUUAAUUAGUUAGCUCAUGGUACUCAUUCAGUCAGUUAUUAAUCAUGCACAUAACCCAUGCAUAACAACCUAACCUUAUCUAGCAGAACAGUACAUUCAAAGUCCUAAUCGCAUACUCAUUCUUGGGAUAUAAUGUCUUAUAUCACAGGUUUAGAUUCUCAGGUUCUCGAUAGCACUUAGACAUUCCAGCGCAUCAACA
This 238-nucleotide long non-coding RNA is filed under the name Capsicum annuum. RNAcentral describes it as "long non-coding RNA (CANN_LNC006707)". The record is from RNAcentral. Lineage: Eukaryota; Viridiplantae; Streptophyta; Magnoliopsida; Solanales; Solanaceae.